Molecule: long non-coding RNA, 1817 nt
Organism: Mesoplodon densirostris (Blainville's beaked whale)
Lineage: Eukaryota; Metazoa; Chordata; Mammalia; Artiodactyla; Ziphiidae
Exons: 3
Source: RefSeq, a predicted model, not a curated record
UGGAGUCCGUGACGCAGGUGGCCGCGGCGCGCUGCAGCUCCUCGGGCUGCACCGGGCUGAUGGUGACGAAGUCGCGGGGCCGCGGGCCAAGCAGCUGCGUGCGGGCGGAGGCCGGCCCGGGACCCGGGGCCGCGGCCAGCUUGAGGCGCAGAGUGCGCAGGAAGCGGCGCAGGCGGUCAGGGGGGCAGUCGGAGAGCAGCAGCUGAACAGCGCCGGUCCGGGGAGCGCCGUCGGCGGGAAGCCGCAGAGUGCUGCGCCCGGACGAGGCGAAGCGCGUGAAGAGGCGCACGGCGCGCAGUGGAAAGCACCGCGGCCGCUCCACGGGCCCGGGCGCCUGCAGCCUCAGCAUCAACUCGCGGCGCUCGUUACGACCCAGUCUCAGCUCCGCGGUGCGUAGGGCCUGGCGCCUUCGCGGCUGCCCGCCCGGGCUCAGCUCCUCCACAGCAACACGGCACCGCAGCUCCGCCUCCGCGCAUUCCGCUGCCACUGCCUGGGUGCCCGACAGCAUCGCCACCAACUCUGCAGGCCUGCAAAAAGACCGGAGCGCAGGGGUCAUCACAGGUGGUGUAGAGAGCGGCGGAUGGGCAGCGUCAAGUACACCCAGGGUUGGGGAACCUCGGCUGUGCGACAAGGGCCACAGAAGAAGGGAUCCCCUGAGCAGAAAAGAAGCCUGCUUCCAAGAGACCCAGGGCGAGCACGAGAAUCCUGAGUCUUCUCGCCAGGAAGCAGGGGACUCUCACGUGUGGAGGUUAACAGUGAGUCUUUGGAGCGAAAGGAGUCGGAGGAAAGCUAGAUACCGCCUGGCGAUGGAUUAACGGUCCUCAGACUCCGCCCUCCUCCCCGCCCCAGCGCCACCAGCCGUCAGCUGGAUCCUGAUUGGCCGAUGGAGGAAGGAGGCGGAGGCAGAGGGACUCCUCAAAUCUGGGGCCGGACUUCCUCACAUCUGGGGCUGGACUUCCUCACAUCUGGGGCCGGACUUCCUCCCUCUGGGCUUUGGGCCCUCUUCGCAUCCGCGGGUCUUCUGCUCGCUGCUGCCGCCGAGAGGUCAAUUCCGAGUGAAGCGCAGCACUGCUCCUCGAUCUCCUCGCCUAAUCCAAAGCCUGGUUUUAACGCAAGCUGUCAGGAGGAACGGGUUUUCUUCACUAUGAAAUUUCCUCCUCCAGAACUCUUUCUAUACGUCUUAUCUGCUUUCUCCCACUGGCGGUCUCAGUCCAAUCCCCGGCUCACUAAUAAUAACGACGACAUCAGCACACGACUAGGUGGUUUACUAAUUGCACUUUCGGCGUUUUCUCAUUUGAUACUUGAAACAGCCAGCCCCUUCCUUCCUCUCUCCCUGCGGCCCUUUCUCGCUGUGCUUUUGCCCUCCCCGCCUUUACAGCCCUAAGCUUACAACAGUCUGGCAGAGGAGCUGAAAGGGUGUUUCGCGGUCUUCCAGCUUCCAGAGCACACCUCGUGUUGCUUCUUCUUUGGGCAGCUGACACUCAUUUUAUUGAACCUCUGGUACAGCUGAUUAUACCUCGUUGAAAUACUCUCUUAACUUCCACAACAUACUCCCCUCGUUUUUCCUACAUAUUGGCUGCUUCAUGUCUGUCUCCUUUGCUAAUCCCUUUCCCUCAACCAGACCUCUCAAUGUGGGAGGACUUUCUUUUUUUCCUAUCUUUUCCAAUCUCAUGACUUAAUUAUCAGCUACAUGCUGAUUCUCAAUAUUAUAACCCCAGCCUGCCCUUCUCCCCUGAACUCCAGACUGUAUUGCCAUUUGUCCUCCUGAUAUCUCCAUACAGAUGCCUAAAUGGCAUGUUUUUUUUAAAUUAAUUAAU